RNAcentral lists this ribosomal RNA (494 nucleotides) under uncultured bacterium. Its description in RNAcentral is "bacterial SSU rRNA". It matches the Rfam family "Bacterial small subunit ribosomal RNA", at positions 903 to 1397 of the family's 1533-position model. The record is from RNAcentral.
AAAGGAAUAGACGGGGACCCGCACAAGCGGUGGAGCAUGUGGUUUAAUUCGAAGCAACGCGAAGAACCUUACCAGGUCUUGACAUCCUUUGAAGCUUUUAGAGAUAGAAGUGUUCUCUUCGGAGACAAAGUGACAGGUGGUGCAUGGUCGUCGUCAGCUCGUGUCGUGAGAUGUUGGGUUAAGUCCCGCAACGAGCGCAACCCUUAUUGUUAGUUGCCAGCAUUCAGAUGGGCACUCUAGCGAGACUGCCGGUGACAAACCGGAGGAAGGCGGGGACGACGUCAGAUCAUCAUGCCCCUUAUGACCUGGGCUACACACGUGCUACAAUGGCGUAUACAACGAGUUGCCAACCCGCGAGGGUGAGCUAAUCUCUUAAAGUACGUCUCAGUUCGGAUUGUAGUCUGCAACUCGACUACAUGAAGUCGGAAUCGCUAGUAAUCGCGGAUCAGCACGCCGCGGUGAAUACGUUCCCGGGUCUUGUACACACCGCCCGU